CAGGGAAUCUUGCACAAUGGGCGAAAGCCUGAUGCAGCGACGCCGCGUGAGGGAUGAAGGUUCUAGGAUCGUAAACCUCUUUUCUUAGGGAAUAGUUUGGAAGGUACCUAAGGAAUAAGUCACGGCUAACUACGUGCCAGCAGCCGCGGUAAUACGUAGGUGGCAAAUGUUGUCCGGAAUCAUUGGGCGUAAAGGGUCCGUAGGUGGCUUGAAAAGUCUUAUGUGAAAUCUCUUGGCUCAACCAAGAAACGCCAUAAGAAACUUUCAUGCUAGAGAUCAUCAGAGGGAGGUAGAAUUCCAGGUGUAGUGGUGAAAUGCGUAGAUAUCUGGAGGAAUACCAAUGGCGAAAGCAGCCUCCUGGGGUGAAUCUGACAUUGAGGGACGAAAGCGUGGGUAGCAAACCGG
Molecule: ribosomal RNA, 405 nt
Filed under: uncultured bacterium
Lineage: Bacteria
Description: bacterial SSU rRNA
Rfam family: Bacterial small subunit ribosomal RNA
Source: RNAcentral